This is a small nuclear RNA of Nannospalax galili (Upper Galilee mountains blind mole rat), 161 nucleotides long. Its record names the gene U1. It matches the Rfam family "U1 spliceosomal RNA". Rfam says of the family: U1 is a small nuclear RNA (snRNA) component of the spliceosome (involved in pre-mRNA splicing). Its 5' end forms complementary base pairs with the 5' splice junction, thus defining the 5' donor site of an intron. The record is from Ensembl. Lineage: Eukaryota; Metazoa; Chordata; Mammalia; Rodentia; Spalacidae.
GAACUUUCCUCCACUAAGAUACCGUGAUCAUGAAAGUGGUUUUCUCAGGGCAAGGCUUACAAUUGCACUCCAUAUGUAUUGACCCCUGUAAUUUCCCCAAAUGUGGGAAACUCAAUUGCAUAAUUUGUGGUUGUGGGGGACAGUGUUCAUGCUCUCCCCUG